AACGAACGCUGGCGGCAUGCCUAACACAUGCAAGUCGAACGAUUAUGGAACUAGCUUGCUAGUGCCCAGAUAGUGGCAGACGGGUGAGUAACGCGUGGGAAUCUACCUAGUAGUACGGAAUAGGCCGUUGGAAACGACGAAUAAUACCGUAUAUUCCCUGAGGGGAAAGAUUUAUCGCUACUAGAUGAGCCCGCGUUAGAUUAGCUAGUUGGUAGGGUAAUGGCCUACCAAGGCAAUGAUCUAUAGCUGGUCUGAGAGGACGAUCAGCCACACUGGGACUGAGACACGGCCCAGACUCCUACGGGAGGCAGCAGUGAGGAAUUUUGGACAAUGGGGGCAACCCUGAUCCAGCAAUGCCGCGUGAGUGAAGAAGGCCUUUGGGUUGUAAAGCUCUUUUGUCAGGGAAGAAACACCGGCUCUAACACAGUCCGGGAAUGACGGUACCUGAAGAAUAAGCACCGGCUAACUACGUGCCAGCAGCCGCGGUAAGGA
Molecule: ribosomal RNA, 492 nt
Filed under: uncultured bacterium
Lineage: Bacteria
Description: bacterial SSU rRNA
Rfam family: Bacterial small subunit ribosomal RNA
Source: RNAcentral